Molecule: ribosomal RNA, 493 nt
Filed under: uncultured bacterium
Lineage: Bacteria
Description: partial 16S ribosomal RNA
Rfam family: Bacterial small subunit ribosomal RNA
Source: RNAcentral
AUUGAACGCUGGCGACAUGCUUUACACAUGCAAGUCGAACGGUAACAGGUUAAGCUGACGAGUGGCGAACGGGUGAGUAAUGCAUCGGAACGUGCCCGGUCGUGGGGGAUAACGCAGCGAAAGCUGCGCUAAUACCGCAUACGAUCUAAGGAUGAAAGCGGGGGACCGUAAGGCCUCGCGCGAUCGGAGCGGCCGAUGUCAGAUUAGGUAGUUGGUGGGGUAAAGGCUCACCAAGCCAACGAUCUGUAGCUGGUCUGAGAGGACGACCAGCCACACUGGGACUGCGACACGGCCCAGACUCCUACGGGAGGCAGCAGUGGGGAAUUUUGUACAAUGGGCGAAAGCCUGAUCCAGCAAUGCCGCGUGCAGGAAGAAGGCCUUCGGGUUGUAAACUGCUUUUGUACGGAGCGAAAAGGUCUCCUCUAAUACAGGGGGCUCAUGACGGUACCGUAAGAAUAAGCACCGGCUAACUACGUGCCAGCCGCCGCGGUAA